CUUUCACUAUAGAAUAACGAAAGCUUUUAUCUAAAUACAUCGGAAGCACACGCUGGUUGAACAAAUAAAUGAAUCAGUAAAGACACUUGUAUUAACCACAUAGAAAUCAUGCACUCCUCUCAAUUUUGUCCAAUCUUCUGAAAGUUGGAUAACAAUGAGAAGUCAUAGCUAGAAGACUGGACCCUUUCUUCUAUUACUUGCAUUCUGUGACAAA
RNAcentral lists this long non-coding RNA (214 nucleotides) under Gossypium raimondii (Peruvian cotton). RNAcentral describes it as "long non-coding RNA (GRAI_LNC007613)". The record is from RNAcentral. Lineage: Eukaryota; Viridiplantae; Streptophyta; Magnoliopsida; Malvales; Malvaceae.